RNAcentral lists this non-coding RNA (24 nucleotides) under Arabidopsis thaliana (thale cress). Lineage: Eukaryota; Viridiplantae; Streptophyta; Magnoliopsida; Brassicales; Brassicaceae. The record is from RNAcentral.
GGAAUCGACAUUUAAGGGUUUGGU